AACGAACGCUGGCGGCAUGCCUAACACAUGCAAGUCGAACGAGACCUUCGGGUCUAGUGGCGCACGGGUGCGUAACGCGUGGGAACCUGCCCUUAGGUUCGGAAUAACUCCCCGAAAGGGGUGCUAAUACCGGAUAAUGUCUUCGGACCAAAGAUUUAUCGCCUUUGGAUGGGCCCGCGUUGGAUUAGCUAGUUGGUAGGGUAAAAGCCUACCAAGGCGACGAUCCAUAGCUGGUCUGAGAGGAUGGUCAGCCACACUGGGACUGAGACACGGCCCAGACUCCUACGGGAGGCAGCAGUGGGGAAUAUUGGACAAUGGGCGAAAGCCUGAUCCAGCACUGCCGCGUGAGUGAUGAAGGCCUUAGGGUUGUAAAGCUCGUUUACCCGGGAUGAUAAUGACAGUACCGGGAGAAUAAGCUCCGGCUAACUCCGUG
This 433-nucleotide ribosomal RNA is filed under the name uncultured bacterium. RNAcentral describes it as "partial 16S ribosomal RNA". It matches the Rfam family "Bacterial small subunit ribosomal RNA", at positions 29 to 507 of the family's 1533-position model. The record is from RNAcentral.